GGAGCGCGCCGCUUGGAGGAGUCGUUAGGUUUCCUAGGAAACUUAACCGCCAACAUUUGCCGCCCAACAGCAUCGACUGAAGGAGGAGAACGCUCUCUGCAUCAGACGUAGUUUUUAAUUAGCUAACCGAAGCCGAUGACACUGAACGUAUGCGGGAUGUUGAGAUAAGGCGUGUUGUACCUGAAUUAAGCCGGCCGCUGGAUUCCUGCGCUUCUCGAAAUGUUUCUGCCGAUGCUGUUCCUGAACUUUCAAGGCAAAUCCAGAACCCAGAAUUCCCUGCGGAGCAUGAAAACAACUUUGUUAAUGAUGACCGGACCUAGUUCUUCCAGAAACUGAGCCGCGUCGUCUAUAAUACCGCACUAUAAUGGAGUGUCGUGACAUUAAAGGGGUCAUUUCUUCUGAUAAAGUGCUCUUUUAUUAGGUUCUUUCUUUCUUUCCCUGAGCUCUAGUUAUAAUGUUAAGCAAGGUUUUUGCAGCAAAAACGGUCAAAUCAUCCCACCUCCUCUUUGAAUAUUUAUCUGGUAUUUGAGUUUCUGAUGUCAAAUAUCCAAGUUUUUCAUCUUAGUUUCAACAGAAGAUCUUUUUGGACUGAGGAGGAUCAUACAACCCUAACACUUUUAUAUAUAUCGUGCAUUAUAAGUGUAUUUUUACUUUCUUUGUAAUGCACUGUAUGAUCUCAUGAAUAACUGUAAUAAAUUUUAUAAUACUUAUCUA
This is a long non-coding RNA of Cyprinus carpio (common carp), 714 nucleotides long. RefSeq lists it as uncharacterized. Lineage: Eukaryota; Metazoa; Chordata; Actinopteri; Cypriniformes; Cyprinidae. The record is from RefSeq and is a predicted model, not a curated record. The transcript has 2 exons.